Molecule: ribosomal RNA, 424 nt
Filed under: uncultured bacterium
Lineage: Bacteria
Description: bacterial SSU rRNA
Rfam family: Bacterial small subunit ribosomal RNA
Source: RNAcentral
GACGAACGCUGGCGGCGCGCCUAACACAUGCAAGUCGAACGGAGCUUAGAGAGCUUGUUUUUUAAGCUUAGUGGCGAACGGGUGAGUAACGCGUGAGUAACCUGCCCUAGAGUGGGGGACAACAGUUGGAAACGACUGCUAAUACCGCAUAAGCCCACGGUGCCGCAUGGUACUGAGGGAAAAGGAUUUAUUCGCUUUAGGAUGGACUCGCGUCCAAUUAGCUAGUUGGUGAGGUAACGGCCCACCAAGGCGACGAUUGGUAGCCGGACUGAGAGGUUGAACGGCCACAUUGGGACUGAGACACGGCCCAGACUCCUACGGGAGGCAGCAGUGGGGGAUAUUGCACAAUGGGGGAAACCCUGAUGCAGCGACGCCGCGUGGAGGAAGAAGGUUUUCGGAUUGUAAACUCCUGUCGUUAGGGACG